This 492-nucleotide ribosomal RNA is filed under the name uncultured bacterium. Its description in RNAcentral is "partial 16S ribosomal RNA". It matches the Rfam family "Bacterial small subunit ribosomal RNA", at positions 29 to 507 of the family's 1533-position model. The record is from RNAcentral.
AGUGAACGCUGGCGGUAGGCCUAACACAUGCAAGUCGAACGGCAGCACAGUAAGAGCUUGCUCUUACGGGUGGCGGGUGGCGGACGGGUGAGGAAUACAUCGGAAUCUACUUUUUCGUGGGGGAUAACGUAGGGAAACUUAUGCUAAUACCGCAUACGACCUACGGGUGAAAGCAGGGGAUCUUCGGACCUUGCGCGAUUGAAUGAGCCGAUGUCGGAGUAGCUAGUUGGCGGGGUAAAGGCCCACCAAGUCGACGAUCCGUAGCUGGUCCGAGAGGAUGAUCAGCCACACUGGAACUGAGACACGGUCCAGACUCCUACGGGAGGCAGCAGUGGGGAAUAUUGGACAAAGGGCGCAAGCCUGAUCCAGCCAUACCGCGUGGGUGAAGAAGGCCUUCGGGUUGUAAAGCCCUUUUGUUGGGAAAGAAAAGCAGCAGGUUAAUACCCCGCUGUUCUGACGGUACCCAAAGAAUAAGCACCGGCUAACUUCGUG